CCUGUAUUAGCAGACCUUCAGCGCGGGCAUGCUACUUCCCGCGAUUUAUGCAAUGAUAUGUCAACCCAUCUGAUAAGUAGGCUAUGAGUGUCUUCAUAAUUGACUCUGCCUUGGACAUACAGAAAGGCCACCCAAGACCAAUGCAGGCCAGAAUCCACCCCAACAGCCUUUAGACAGACGCUGUGAGUAGAUUAUGCCCAACCCUCACCCCAGGUCAUCGAUGGCCAGCCAGCGUAUACGGUGAGACGUCUCCUGAGGGUUCGACCACGGGGCAGGGGUUUCCAGUACCUGGUUGACUGGGAGGGUUAUGGCCUGGAGGAGAGGUGCUGGGUUCCUGCUAAAGAUGUCCUGGACCCGACCCUCAUCGGCGAUUUUCUUUCACCUGUCCUUGUGAUGGUCUCCACCCCCUCCAGGUGUCGGUUAUUUCCCCCAGUGUAUUUAUCCCUGUGUUUCCUGUCUCUCUGUGCCAGUUCGUCUUGACUGUUUCAAGUCAACCAGCGUGUUUUCCCCAUGCUCCUGCUUUUGCUAUUCUCUCUUUUGCUAGUCUGUACCCAACUGCCCUGACCUCGAGCCUGCCUGCCACUCUGUACCUCCUGGACUCUGAUUUGGU
This is a long non-coding RNA of Oncorhynchus tshawytscha (Chinook salmon), 610 nucleotides long. RefSeq lists it as uncharacterized. NCBI's taxonomy places the organism in Eukaryota, Metazoa, Chordata, Actinopteri, Salmoniformes, Salmonidae. The transcript has 3 exons. The record is from RefSeq and is a predicted model, not a curated record.